RNAcentral lists this unclassified non-coding RNA (473 nucleotides) under Loxostigma dongxingense. Its description in RNAcentral is "Loxostigma dongxingensis partial external transcribed spacer". The record is from RNAcentral. Lineage: Eukaryota; Viridiplantae; Streptophyta; Magnoliopsida; Lamiales; Gesneriaceae.
GAGACAAGCAUAUGACUACUGGCAGGAUCAACCAGGUAGCAUUCCACGUCGACUCUUGGCACUGCAUGGACGAAUCCAAAACAACACCGAUUGUCUUUCGCACAUAGCGUGGGACGCUUUUUUUAGGGGCAAAUAGAGACCACCGAUGGUGCCUCGUACCCACGAGGUACUCCAUGACCGAGAGAACGAACGUGGUGCCAUUGAUCCAACUACACAAGAACAUUGAAGCAAUUGGGGGUUGGACCAUGGCAUUCGCUUCGAAGUUCACCUCGUACCACGAACCCAAGGGCUCGCAACUUAAGGCGAAAGGGCGUCAUUAAUCCAACGAAUUCCCARACUUCAGGUACAAAACACAGGAAACCGAGCUCGGCCAAGAUGUUAUUCCUACUCUUGAACCAAUUGCUGAAAAGGCAUGACAGAUACGUUUUCGCUGCGCAAGCAGGGACCAAACAUACCCAUACACACCAUCCACC